CCCUUAGAUGUUCUGGGCCGCACACGCGCUACACUGAAGGAGGCAGCGUGUACUCCUGGAUCGAAAGAUUUGGGUAACCCGCGAAUCUCCUUCGUGCUAGGGAUUGAGGUUUGCAAUUAUCCUUCAUGAACGAGGAAUUCCCAGUAAGUGCAAGUCAUAAGCUUGCGCUGACUACGUCCCUGCCCUUUGUACACACCGCCCGUCGCUACUACCGAUUGAAUGAUUUAGUGAGGACUUCGGACUGGGACCGAUGCGGCUUUCGGGUUGCGUCGGUAUUCUGGAAAGAUGUCCAAACUGUAUCAUUUAGAGGAAGUAAAAGUCGUAACA
Molecule: ribosomal RNA, 327 nt
Filed under: uncultured eukaryote
Lineage: Eukaryota
Description: partial 18S ribosomal RNA
Rfam family: Eukaryotic small subunit ribosomal RNA
Source: RNAcentral